AGUGAGCUUUUCGUCCAUGGAGAGCAGAUGGUGUUUUUGAAAGGAAGGGCAGCCAUUCCCGGGACUUUGGACUUGGCUCCGUUGCACCCCUGAACGUGGCUGCUGGGACAACAUUGGGACAUCCUUCUACUGAAGAUUCAGAUCUAGAAACCAAGGGGAAGAGACAAACAGGACACAGCCAAGUUCCCGUUCGUCAUGGUGCUUUGGAUGAAACGGGAACAUGUCUGCUUCCCCUAAACCAUCUUAUCAAUGAUAUAUCUUCAUGAGAAAAUUUUAAGGAAAAAAAAAUCAUGUUCUUUGGGUUCCUAUUCAUUAUAAGGACAGCUUUAACCAAACCGGUCACUGUAGAUGACUUUUAAUUUAAUAAAUAGAGCAGGGAAAAGGCUGUCAGCAACAUGACCUUUUCUGGUUACCUAAGAUUGUAAGACCAAGAGCCUUCUGACUAAAAGGGCCUG
RNAcentral lists this long non-coding RNA (455 nucleotides) under Mus caroli (Ryukyu mouse). RNAcentral describes it as "lncRNA (MGP_CAROLIEiJ_G0013276.1)". The record is from RNAcentral. Lineage: Eukaryota; Metazoa; Chordata; Mammalia; Rodentia; Muridae.